AUACGGAGGGCGCAAGCGUUAAUCGGAAUUACUGGGCGUAAAGCGCGCGUAGGCGGAUUGUUAAGUCUCAUGUGAAAGCCCUGGGCUCAACCUGGGAACUGCAUGGGAUACUGGCAAUCUAGAAUACAGUAGAGGGUAGUGGAAUUUCAGGUGUAGCGGUGAAAUGCGUAGAGAUCUGAAGGAACAUCAGUGGUGAAGGCGACUACCUGGACUGAUAUUGACGCUGAGGUGCGAAAGCGUGGGGAGCAAACGGGAUUAGAUACCCCAGUAGUCC
This 274-nucleotide ribosomal RNA is filed under the name uncultured bacterium. RNAcentral's name for it is "partial 16S ribosomal RNA". It matches the Rfam family "Bacterial small subunit ribosomal RNA", at positions 523 to 796 of the family's 1533-position model. The record is from RNAcentral.